UACGAAGGGAGCUAGCGUUGUUCGGAAUUACUGGGCGUAAAGGGCGCGUAGGCGGCUUCGAUAGUUGGGCGUGAAAUGCCUGGGCUUAACCCAGGAAUUGCGCUCAAUACUGUGAGGCUUGAGUGUGGGAGAGGAUAGUGGAAUUCCCAGUGUAGAGGUGAAAUUCGUAGAUAUUGGGAAGAACACCAGCGGCGAAGGCGGCUAUCUGGACCACAACUGACGCUGAGGCGCGAAAGCGUGGGGAGCAAACAGG
This 253-nucleotide ribosomal RNA is filed under the name uncultured bacterium. RNAcentral describes it as "partial 16S ribosomal RNA". It matches the Rfam family "Bacterial small subunit ribosomal RNA", at positions 524 to 776 of the family's 1533-position model. The record is from RNAcentral.